This 474-nucleotide ribosomal RNA is filed under the name Staphylococcus aureus. Its description in RNAcentral is "partial 23S ribosomal RNA". It matches the Rfam family "Bacterial large subunit ribosomal RNA", at positions 1304 to 1774 of the family's 2925-position model. The record is from RNAcentral. Lineage: Bacteria; Bacillati; Bacillota; Bacilli; Caryophanales; Staphylococcaceae.
GAGUAGCGAAAGACGGGUGAGAAUCCCGUCCACCGAUUGACUAAGGUUUCCAGAGGAAGGCUCGUCCGCUCUGGGUUAGUCGGGUCCUAAGCUGAGGCCGACAGGCGUAGGCGAUGGAUAACAGGUUGAUAUUCCUGUACCACCUAUAAUCGUUUUAAUCGAUGGGGGGACGCAGUAGGAUAGGCGAAGCGUGCGAUUGGAUUGCACGUCUAAGCAGUAAGGCUGAGUAUUAGGCAAAUCCGGUACUCGUUAAGGCUGAGCUGUGAUGGGGAGAAGACAUUGUGUCUUCGAGUCGUUGAUUUCACACUGCCGAGAAAAGCCUCUAGAUAGAAAAUAGGUGCCCGUACCGCAAACCGACACAGGUAGUCAAGAUGAGAAUUCUAAGGUGAGCGAGCGAACUCUCGUUAAGGAACUCGGCAAAAUGACCCCGUAACUUCGGGAGAAGGGGUGCUCUUUAGGGUUAACGCCCAGAAG